This 536-nucleotide ribosomal RNA is filed under the name Agaricomycotina sp. IP. RNAcentral describes it as "LSU rRNA". It matches the Rfam family "Eukaryotic large subunit ribosomal RNA", at positions 90 to 621 of the family's 3401-position model. Lineage: Eukaryota; Fungi; Basidiomycota. The record is from RNAcentral.
CGAGCGAAGCGGGAAGAGCUCAAAUUUGUAAUCUGGCAGCAAUGCCCGAGUUGUAAUCUAUAGAGUCGUUUUCGGUGCCGGACCACGUCCAAGUCCCUUGGAACAGGGUAUCAAAGAGGGUGACAAUCCCGUGCUUGACGUGACCACCGGGGCUGUGUGAUACGAUUUCUACGAGUCGAGUUGUUUGGGAAUGCAGCUCUAAAUGGGUGGUAAAUUCCAUCUAAAGCUAAAUAUUGGCGAGAGACCGAUAGCGAACAAGUACCGUGAGGGAAAGAUGAAAAGCACUUUGGAAAGAGAGUUAAAAGUACGUGAAAUUGUUGAAAGGGAAACGAUUGAAGUCAGUCGUGCGGCUUGGUUUCAGCGGGUUCUGCCCGUGUAUUACCAUUUCGCGGGUCAACAUCGGUUAGGUCUGGCGGAAAAAGAUUAGAGGAAGGUGGCACCCUCGGGUGUGUUAUAGCCUCUGGUUGCAUACGCUGGACUUGACCGAGGACUGCGGCGUGCCUUUAUGGCAGGUCUUUUGACCUUCCACGCCUAGG